AGUUUGCCAGUGCGCAAGUCCUGGUUUCUGUAUUGUAUUUUGAAUAUUUUCAAACCUAUAACUGAAUAGAGAGAAAGCAGGUACUCAUUUGGCAUUUGGGUCUUCCUUACCUGCUAACUGCUGAUCCGAAUUAUGUACUGUAGAUGGAAGAAUGCAUUAUUAAACAUACCUGCUACUGAUCCAGGGUCUCUUUGUUCGAGUUUGAAUCUACUAUGGAUCUCGGCACACCUGUGACGACGACGACAGUAUAUAUGUACAUAGUGAAGAGACGGGUGUGUUGUUGGAUGUGUCACGUGUGGGAGUAGAAAACCCGACAGCCCGUAUCAGAAUUGCAGGCAAGUAAACCGGGUAUGGCAAGCAGAUAGGUUAUUGGCGGUCCUCCUCAAAUGGCCAGCAGUAAGAGUUGGUCCAGGGUUUUCUGGCUCUGGUACUCUACAGUCGAGAGAUUGUGUGGACCUGGUCAUUACUGAUGAGUGGGCAACCCACACUAAACCUCGUGAAGUUAGCAAUACUUGGUGAGACAGCGACAGCGACAAACAAGACGACAUCAGAACCGUCUACUUGCUCUGGCUCUUUCUCCUGGUAUCAGGACUGUAAAUCCGGGAUUUUAUUCGCCCGGUAUCGAGGUUUAUAGUGUGUCCUCACAGUACACACCGUCCUCGGGUCUAUAUGUAGAGGUGAAUUAUGUCCAAGUGUCGGGUUCUGAGACGUUUGCAUAUCUUCGAGCAAGGUUCUCUUGUGUGCUGGCGCUAAAGUCCAAGAUCCUUCUCAAGUUGGACCCGAGAGAGAGCUGAUCCGGAGGAAAUGUACAGGAAUUCAAGAUAUUUUCAGUCUGUCACCUAAACCGAGUCCGAAAGACCGGGAACCAGCCAUUCUUAUUUGACUGGUCCAUUUAUAGUACAAGUUAUAUAUCGCGUAGACAUUAAAGUCAUAGCCGUAUACAUAUUAACGUCGUGUGGAAAGCCGUCUUAUCUUACCCGUUUCGUUGGGUUAUUAACCGACUGUCUGAUGGCCAAUUAAAUUUAUCGGGAAGCACUGAGUAAGAGUAUAUACGCGUUUUACCUGGGCUGCAUUAUCUUUGAGUUUAUGUUGGGACUCAGCAUUCUGAUGGCCUUGCUCGGGACAGAAUGACAGCUGGCAUCUUAUUAUAUGAGUUGCGAUCAAGAAUUAUGUCCGUCGAUUAUCUCUCGCGACUAUAUUUAACGAACCUACAUAUGUACAUAUUAUUAUAAUUAUAAUUAUAAAUAGAAGGCGUUUUGUACAUAAACAUCUCGAGCUGUCUUGAUUAUAAAUAAAAUAAUAAUUCGCGUGAAUAUUUAAUCAACCAGUACCAGCAUAUUUGAUAUUGUUUCCAUAAAAUGCAUCCCCCGAGACGAUGUUCGCUAUAGAGAGCAUUAAAAUCACAGAACGAGUGCGUGACUUGAGACAGUGUGCGGAAAUUCGCAACAAACCUUUGAUCGGGCUUGUAGCAAUCGAGGUAAUCGGAUAGCUGCUCAACAACCUCUCCAGAGGAAUGCCGGAAACUAAAAAAACAAAGACCGACCGAAAACACUCAAGUAGAAUACAUUAUUACUCAAUAUCGCCUAAAAAAUAAUCCAUGUGUAGUCUGUACAGUCUGAAGAAUAUAAAGGGAUCUCACAUCUGCAGAGAUGUUUAUUCGGGGAGAGACCGGCGUCAAUAGUGGAGUCCGUUGGUAUACCCGUACCGGCUGAAAAAAUAAAAUACGGUGAAUUUUAAAUAAAACUUGAUGAACGAAUAAUUAUCGUCUUAAUGUUAAUCCACCGAUAAGAUAGGACACAUAUUAUAUGAAUAUAUAUUUAUAUAUAUGAAGGCAUAUACGCACUUAAGGCUCGAGAAUUCACGACAGACAUCAAUAGCCUCAAUAAAUAAAGUAGAUUCGAUUCAAUUUUCAUAAAUAAGAGGGCAUUCAAAUGAGAAGGAAUGAUGAGGAUGUGCCGGCGGUCGCGAUAGUGGAGGCGGGGAUUCUUCUUGGAUUAUUGCGAUUGCAGAUGAAUAAGGAAAGAAGAAAAAGAAGAGGAGGUGGAUGUAGCAAAAGAUAUUUUGCUAUCUUUAUCGGUGAGUUAAAUGCUGAAUAGUCACUGGUGCUGUGUGACUGUUUGGUUGUCUGAGGCAUGGCAAGUUUUGGGUGCAGGCUAGCCAGCAAGUGAUCUAAGCGAUGCGACAGCGGGGAGUAAGCUGGAUAUAUUACCGCCCGAGAGCUUGCUGUUUUCAACCAAUUAUUUCUACUUGUGGUUGCAUGAUGGCCCGGGCUGGGUCGGGGGCGGCAUGUCGUACGAGAAAGAGGCGAGUUAAUGCCAUAAAUACAUCACCGUUAUGGAUGCCAGCAAUUAUAUGAGACUCGAACGAGUGGACGA
This 2375-nucleotide long non-coding RNA is filed under the name Cotesia glomerata. RNAcentral's name for it is "uncharacterized LOC123275272". Lineage: Eukaryota; Metazoa; Arthropoda; Insecta; Hymenoptera; Braconidae. The record is from RNAcentral.